RNAcentral lists this ribosomal RNA (251 nucleotides) under Pycnococcus provasolii. RNAcentral describes it as "partial Bacterial small subunit ribosomal RNA". It matches the Rfam family "Bacterial small subunit ribosomal RNA", at positions 91 to 341 of the family's 1533-position model. The record is from RNAcentral. Lineage: Eukaryota; Viridiplantae; Chlorophyta; Pseudoscourfieldiophyceae; Pseudoscourfieldiales; Pycnococcaceae.
UUGAGUGGCGCACGGGUGAGUAACACGUAGCUAAUCUACCUCAAAGCGCGGGAUAACGUGUCGAAAGACAGGCUAAUACCGCAUAAGCUCCCGGGCUGUAGAGGCUUGGGAGAAAAGGCGCAAGUCACUUUGAGAUGAGGCUGCGGCCCAUCAGCUAGUUGGUGCGGUAACGGCGUACCAAGGCGACGACGGGUAGGGGACCUGAGAGGGUGACCCCCCACACUGGGACUGAGACACGGCCUAGACUCCUA